GCCUUGGGAAAUAACUGAUCCCUGAAAGCCAAUAGGCAAGAUCCCUGGGGCCUCACAACCUUGGUGCUGAAUCCAUUUCUCCCAGUGUUAAAUUCAGAAAGCAGCAGAAGCUUUCAGAAGAACAGCUGGAGAUUUAGUCUGGCUGGGAGAACAGGGCUGGUCAGCAGGUCCAAGGCAGCAGCACCGUAUGAGGCUCUCUGGUCCCAAGGGCCUGUGUCAGGGACCUGCCAUGGUGGUCGCACAGUCUGGCCUGGGGGCAGAGCAGGAGUGGCAAGGGUCAGAGGCGCAGACUCGGAUGCUGUCAGCUUCCUAUGCCACCCUCCAUGGGCAGUGGCACAUGCCAGCCAGGCAGUGACAGGCAGCAGGAUGGCCUGGACUUCCUCACAGAAUGGUGGCUGGGGUACAAGAGGAAAAGGCCCAGUGUGCAAGCACUUAUCCAGCCUCUGCCUGAAUCACAUUUACUAGUGUCCCAUUGGCUAAAGCAAAUCACAUGGCCAAGCUCAAGUCUAUGUGGAAGGAGACUACACAAGAACAUAAAUACUGGGAGGCAUAAUUCUUCAGCAGCUACAAAGUAACAGUCUAUCACUAUUUCUAAUUCCAGUUCUUGCAGCCAGAAGACACUGUUGGGUUCGUAGAGGCAGGGACAGCCCAGAGAUCCAAGCAGAGGAAAUACGUUUGGCUCUGGGAGAGUCUUGAGUUUUAUUAGCAGCUAAAGAGCCUGACUGGGUUGUUGCAUGUGACUCCAUGGUGCAAUACAGGCUCUCCAGCCCAGGGGCCAUAAAAGUCAGAAGCCUCUGUAACUGGGAGCCAGCGAAUGAAGGUAUCCUGAACAAGCCUGAAAAGGAGUAUCAGCUCAAACAGAAGUUCUAUGGGCCUAGGAUGGGAUCUUGGCCCCAGAGUGGGAAGCAGAAGAAUAAACACCCCAGCUUCCUGGCCCCUCAGAGGUGUUCUGGACCACCUCCCAGAAUCCCAGCAAGAUUGAGGUCCAGGUGCCUACAACAUAACCUUCUCAUUGGCAUCCUUUAAUGGUUUCCAUCCCUCCAUCCCUGUCAUAAUUCUUCCCUAUCAGGGCUUCCUGGGGUCACCAUUCAAAUAAACCACUUAUACUCAAAUUGGGCCUCAAGUCCUGCUUCUAAGAAAACUCAGGUUAAGACAAUGAUGGAUUUGGAACACUGGAUGAUCUCAAGUUAUUCAGUGGUCCAAAUCCAAAGCUUGAGAAGUCCAUGAUCUGAUCAGUGGCGUGAUGGUGUGCAGUUGGCACUAGACAGGCAUGGGCUGGAGCCUCAACUUUGCAGCUCACCAGUUUUGUGGCACUUUUGUUUCCAGAGAGGGCCACCAACUAUCUUUCUCAUUCUUGGUUACACCUGCCACUCCUCUCCUCAAGAGAUGGAGUCUAUUUCCCUUCUCCUUGAUUCUGGCUAGCCUUGGGUUUGCCAGUCAUAUGCCUUGCUUUGAUCAGAAAACUAAAAGUGAUAUUUUAGGACUUCUCAGUCCAGGCUUUGAAAAACUUGCAGCUUCCACUCUUUUGCCCUCUUGGAACCCAGCCACCUUGUAAAAAUCCCUGACACCCUGCUGAAGAGAUACCAUGGGCAUAAAGAGUCUCUAGCCAGUCCCCAGCUGUUCUAGCCAUCCUGGCUGAGAGGCAUGGGCUCUGAGAGCUUUCGAGAUGUCCAAGUGAAGAUGUCAAGAGGUCAGUUAAAUACAAAUAAUUCCCCUAUAUGUCUCUGAAUAACAACCAGGGCCUUUCCUCUGUUGCUUGGGCAAAGAGCUGCAUUGUGCCAUCUGAGGAGUUUACCAUUGUAAAUGGCAAGGCUGCGUGUGUAUGAGUAUGCAAGUGUGUGGUUUGUGGGCGGAGUGUUUGAAACAGGCUGUGCAGUCUCCUGCCCCUCACAGCCUCCCGCCUACAGACCAAGUCUCAGCCACACCUGUCCCCUCAAGGCCUAGCCCAGGCUGCUAAGUCAUCAAGCCCCCACCAUGACUGCAGGACCUCACUCCCAGCCAGCACAUAACGUAGCACUUGAGGCCGACGGGAAAGCCUUUCUCACCCACCUUUGGGACCAUCCUAGCAUGCUAGCCUCUCCUCUAAUGCUUGCCUCCCAGCCUCCCCAUCUCACCCAUUCGCCCUCUGCAACUUCCCUCCCCACCCUUCCCAUCAGCCACCCCCCUAAAUCCCUGUGCCCUGACAAACAAACUCCCUCCCUCUCCCCUUCCACCUGAGUGGUGGCUCUGCUGAGGACGUCCUUCCCCUGCACCCCCUGGAGGGGUUCACUGCUCAUCCUCAUGCACAUACUCCCAGCUCAGGGUCUAGAAGCUGGGUCAGGGUCCUCUACAGCUCAGCAUCCUCUCUUCCGCCAGGCCACACCAAUUACUAUAGGGAAAGGCAGCCCCAGGCCUGGCACCUGACUAGUCUAAGUCAAUCAUGAGACUCUUAGUAGUAAUUGGUGCAAGAGUGAACAUGUGACCCAGCUCUGGCCAAUGAGAUGUCAGGGGAGGUCUGUCAGGGAACUUCUGGGAAAAGAUUUCUUGUUCUUAGGAAGGAGACAGCAGAAGGAGUAACUCUUAAACCACUGGACGUUGAUGGAUCUGGGUGUGAUUCCUGGAGCAGCUGCCACCAUCUUGCAAUGAAGCUGAAAAUGAAGUCACAAGGCAGGGAGAUGGAGAGAACCUCCAUGAGAUUAUUAUACUGUUGAGCCCUGUUCGCCUGAAAACUUUCCUACCUCUGGACUUCGUAUCAGGAGUGUUGAGAAGGUGGAUGGAAGCAACAAUAGUUUCCUUAUCUCCUUGGAGAAAGAUACAAGCCAUUACCAAGGUUUUAUAGAUGAGAUCCCCACUGUUCUCCCUAAAUUCAUGUGUCUGAGCUCCUGUCUCCCUGGUUAUGCAUUGCUGGCUGGCUGGAGUUAUUCUGGGCAUUUCUUCAAGUGUCAUUGGUAACUUAGAACUCACCAGUGACAAGCUGGCAAAUUCACUUACAGAAUGCAGCUCCUGAAAACUACUAAUGAUGCCGUGAGAAGACAGGAGACAAGAACCAGCAGUAUUUGGUCUCCAGUUUAAGGCAUAAAUAUCUGAAAAUGAGAAAUUCCUUGGAGCCAGCCUCCCAGAUGGAACAUUUAGUGCUCAGUUACAUAAAGAGCUACAGAAGCCAGGAGGUCAGGGCAGAGCUACAGCAAGGCCUGGCAAUGGGCCUGGGCGGCAGGUGUGGGGGGCAGUAAGAGUGUUUAAGGGAGAGGGGAGCAUUGAGAGUAUCACCCAGUUCACAGGGAGUGGUGAAUGUCCAGCUUCCCUUUAUCCAUCUAUCCAGCUGUUCUACUGAAAUAAGAGCAUAAUGCCAGACACUGCCGGGAGGAAGUUGAAUGUGGCAGGAUUGCCCAAUGGGCAAACUGAUUGUGCUUUAUGAUAUUAUAGACUCAUUUGAAAGAGAAAGUUUCAGAAAACAGAAUUAAAGGAACCUCAUCUUUCUCCUCUGAAGAGAAACAGGAGAUCUCUGUGUCCUGAGAUCUGUUCCACAGGAGAAAUGAAAGGCUUUUAUUUUCUGAAGUCUAGGCACUGGGCACAAAGAGCUGGCUUGUCUUGGAUGAGCAGGGUCUCUGGGAUGGGCAGGAAGAGGCUGAACCCACGGGGAGACCCAGGUUUUCCAGAGACAGGAAGCAAAGCCAUGGUCGGAUAUAUGUUGGUGUACUGGUGAAAGCUAACACGUGUUCUCAGGGUGGUGGGCUGGAGGGCAUGGGCUCCUGAUUUAUAGUGUUUACCAGUUUCUGUGGUGUAAAUAUUUCCACCAUGGUCAAUUUCAAGCUACCAACUUUAUGUCAUUGAGCAGGAAGUUGGGAAGAGACACACACAGUCGGCUCUCCUGAGUCAGUACAAGCCUGCUCCAGCACACCACUGACAUGGAAACGCGCACCCAGUUAAAUGCAGCACCUCAGGAGGUGGCAGGACCUUUGAUGGGGAGGCCCUUGGGUGCCAGGGACUGACAAUCAAGCUCUAAGACCUUGUGAGCUGCUGAAAAAGAUCUCAGAGUCUGGCUUGGCAUGGAGAGAGAAGAGCCACCCUUCUUUGGAAUGAACCAUUUGGACUUGAGCAUGAGGCUCCAGCAGUGACCAUAUGGGGCUGAAGAACACAAGCUUUGCUGAAGUUUCUGGACUAUGUAAACCAUCCUUGCCCACCCUAAGGAGGGGGUGCUCCAGGCAAUGACUCAACUAUGGUGACUGGGAGCUCACAGCCAGAUUUAAUUUGGUUUACAAAAAUAAAAUACUGCCAUGGUUCUUGCAUGUGA
This is a long non-coding RNA of Chlorocebus sabaeus (green monkey), 4270 nucleotides long. RefSeq lists it as uncharacterized. The record is from RefSeq and is a predicted model, not a curated record. Lineage: Eukaryota; Metazoa; Chordata; Mammalia; Primates; Cercopithecidae.